AUUUUAGGUGUUUUUAUAAACUUAAUAGGGAAAUGUGUGAAACACUGCAGCCCCCGCUACUGUAUAUAAGGACUAACUACUAAUAAGCCACUGUAAUCUUAUAAAGAUUAUGGGAAGGUAAGUAGAAGGGAUGAAUUAUAAGCCAGGAGACCUACCUAGAGUAAA
This 165-nucleotide non-coding RNA is filed under the name uncultured Cellulosilyticum sp. Lineage: Bacteria; Bacillati; Bacillota; Clostridia; Lachnospirales; Cellulosilyticaceae. The record is from RNAcentral.